RNAcentral lists this transfer RNA (65 nucleotides) under Mitjaevia shibingensis. RNAcentral describes it as "tRNA-Arg". The record is from RNAcentral. Lineage: Eukaryota; Metazoa; Arthropoda; Insecta; Hemiptera; Cicadellidae.
AACAAAGAAGUAAAAAAAAUUACAUUUAGUUUCGACCUAAAAAUAAGAAUUUAAUUCUCAUGUUU